CUAGUAACGGCGAGUGAAGCGGCAACAGCUCAAAUUUGAAAUCUGGCGUCUUUGGCGUCCGAGUUGUAAUUUGCAGAGGGCGCUUUGGCAUUGGCAGCGGUCCAAGUUCCUUGGAACAGGACGUCACAGAGGGUGAGAAUCCCGUACGUGGUCGCUAGCCUUUACCGUGUAAAGCCCCUUCGACGAGUCGAGUUGUUUGGGAAUGCAGCUCUAAAUGGGAGGUAAAUUUCUUCUAAAGCUAAAUACUGGCCAGAGACCGAUAGCGCACAAGUAGAGUGAUCGAAAGAUGAAAAGCACUUUGGAAAGAGAGUUAAAAAGCACGUGAAAUUGUUGAAAGGGAAGCGCUUGCAGCCAGACUUGCCUGUAGUUGCUCAUCCGGGUUUUUACCCGGUGCACUCUUCUACGGGCAGGCCAGCAUCAGUUUGGGCGGUUGGAUAAAGGUCUCUGUCAUGUACCUCCUCUCGGGGAGAACUUAUAGGGGAGACGACAUGCAACCAGCCCGGACUGAGGUCCGCGCAUCUGCUAGGAUGCUGCCGAAAUGGAUGUAAGCGGCCCGUCUUAAA
RNAcentral lists this ribosomal RNA (563 nucleotides) under Epicoccum sorghinum. RNAcentral describes it as "partial large subunit ribosomal RNA". It matches the Rfam family "Eukaryotic large subunit ribosomal RNA", at positions 80 to 658 of the family's 3401-position model. The record is from RNAcentral. Lineage: Eukaryota; Fungi; Ascomycota; Dothideomycetes; Pleosporales; Didymellaceae.